This 31-nucleotide ribosomal RNA is filed under the name fungal sp. 1.60.4B. RNAcentral describes it as "partial 28S ribosomal RNA". The record is from RNAcentral. Lineage: Eukaryota; Fungi.
UGACCUCGGAUCAGGUACGGGAUACCCGCUG